This 253-nucleotide ribosomal RNA is filed under the name uncultured bacterium. Its description in RNAcentral is "partial 16S ribosomal RNA". It matches the Rfam family "Bacterial small subunit ribosomal RNA", at positions 524 to 776 of the family's 1533-position model. The record is from RNAcentral.
UACGAAGGGGGCUAGCGUUGCUCGGAAUGACUGGGCGUAAAGGGCGCGUAGGCGGACGGCUUUGUCGGGCGUGAAAUUCCAGGGCUUAACCUUGGGGCUGCGUUCGAGACGGGUUGUCUAGAGUUUGGAAGAGGGUCGUGGAAUUCCCAGUGUAGAGGUGAAAUUCGUAGAUAUUGGGAAGAACACCAGUGGCGAAGGCGGCUCACUGGUCCGAUACUGGCGCUGAGGUGCGAAAGCGUGGGGAGCAAACAGG